This 1534-nucleotide long non-coding RNA is filed under the name Monodelphis domestica (gray short-tailed opossum). Its description in RNAcentral is "lncRNA (ENSMODG00000040107.1)". The record is from RNAcentral. Lineage: Eukaryota; Metazoa; Chordata; Mammalia; Didelphimorphia; Didelphidae.
AUGGAUAUGGCUAUCCGUCCAUCCAUCCAUCUAUCUAUCUGUUUGUCUUUCUGUCCAUUUCUCCAUAUGUAUGUAUGUAUUUAUCUAUAUAUUUAUCUGUCAAUCUAUGAACCUCUAUAUCUACUACUCUUCAUCUAUCUCUCUUACUUUCUAGCAAUAUUUCUCUCUCUCUCUCUCUCUCUCUCUCUCUCCCUUUCUCUCCCUCUCUCCCUGUCUCUCUAUCUCUCUGUCUGUCUCUGUGUCUUUCUAAUUUUCAAAUUCUUUCCCUUUCCUUCCUUUUUUCCUUCCUCCCUCUCUUUCCUCUUAUCUGACUCUUUGUCUAAGUUUUUGUAUGUUUCUCUGUGUAUAAAUGUACAUAUGCUUCUAUCCAUUCCUCCAUCUACCUGUCCUUCUAUUUGUGCAUCCAACGAUCUAUUUCUCUAUGUUUUAACACUCUUUGUGCCAAUUUUUCUUUCUUUCUCUCUUUCUGUCACGUUUCCUCGUUCUGCCUGUUUCCCCAUGUAUGUAUAUAUCUAUAUAUGUAUGUAUGAAUAAAUCUAUCCAUCCAUGUACCAACCCAUCUAUUUCUCUGCCUGUUUCUCUAUCCCUGUCCAUCUGUCUUCCAUAUACCUAUCCCCCCACCCAUCUACCUAUACAUCCUUCUUUUCAUCUCUCUUUCUCUCUAUCAAUUGUUCUCUCUUCAUCUCCAUUUUUCUUUCUAAUUGUCUAUUGCUUUUUUGCCUCUCUGUUUGCCUAGGUAGGUCCACAUAAAUGUAUAUAUUUAUGAAUCGAUCUAUGCAUCCAUCCAUCUACCUUUCUAGGUGUCAUUCUAUCAAUUCAUCAAUUUGUCUGUUUCUCUUUUUGAUAUCUAUGUACUAUGUGAGUACGUAUGUAUCUACGUAUCUAUCGAUAUCUUUGUAUAUAUAUCUUCAACUCAUGCAUUCUGUUUAUGUAUGCAUCUCAUUAUUCAUCUAACUCUCUCCCUCAAUUAAUUUCUCUAUAUAUGUAUGUAUCGAUACAUAUAAAAUUACACAAAGUGACAUCUAUACAUCUAUCUAGUCACCCAUCCAUGUAUCAAUUGUUUUUUCUAUCCAUCUAUCUAUCCCUCCAGCCCUCCCUCCCUCCAUCCAUCCAUCCUUAUAUCAAUCUUUCUUCCUACCACCAUUUCUCUCUUUCAUUCUAACUGUGUUUUUUUAACUAACUUUCUGACUAUUUCUCUAUGUAAGUAUGCUUGCAUGUAUGUAUGUAUUUAUUCAUCCAGCCAUCCAUCUUUCUUUCUGUUUGUCUUUCUUUCUUUCUUUUUUAAACCCUUACCUUCCGUCUUGCAGUCAAUACUGUGUAUUGGCUCCAAGGCAGAAGAGAGGUAAGGGCUAGGCAAUGGGGGUCAGGUGACUUGCCCAUGGUCACACAGCUGAGAAGUGUCUGAGACCAGAUUUGAACCUAGGACCUCCCAUCUCUAGCCCUGGCUCUCAAUCCACUGAGCCACCCAGCUGCCCCCUGUUUGUCUUUCUAACAGUCUCUCUCUCUGUCUUUUUCAAGCCUUCAGUGUGUCUGU